Lynx canadensis (Canada lynx) is the source of this 687-nucleotide long non-coding RNA. RefSeq lists it as uncharacterized. Lineage: Eukaryota; Metazoa; Chordata; Mammalia; Carnivora; Felidae. The transcript is spliced from 3 exons. The record is from RefSeq and is a predicted model, not a curated record.
GCCGUUGUUGGAGGCUUGUAGUUAACUUUCCUGUCAAGUUUCUUCUUAUCGGAAGUAUUGGAAACCGAUUCUGGUAGCGAAUGAUGCUGAAGGCUCAGACUCAAGGUUGGUAAUAAGCGAACACAGAGGCUCUGAAAUGCUACCUGACAGUCUUAAGGCAAGACAAGGGAAUCCACACAUCUGCCCAUCAGUGAACAAUGGCUUCUCAGCCUCUCUAGCUGUGCCCAUCUCUGCGGCCCCUUCCUGGAGUCCCACGGGCAUUGGACAUGGUCCACCUCGUCAGGCCCAAGGAACGUGAGAGGGAGUGACUUCUACUUCUGCGCAGAAGCUUUAAAGGACUCCACAUGGUGUGGCCACGGAGUCAGCAUGUCCCAGAAGAGACUGUCCCUCUGCCUGAUUCCAGGAAUGCCAACUGCAUGGAGCAGAAAUGCAGCUGACCGAUGAAUGGCUUUUGCACGCAGGAAUUGUUGGGGGCCACUGAAGGUUUGCGGUUGUAUUAUCAAUGUGUAGUCCAUCAAAAGAUGCUUUAUGCAAGAAGUUUCAUAUUCCACCUUAAACGCUCAAUGUUUGUGUGUGUCUUUUCUUCCUAAUUAACUCUAAGUUCCUGUGAAUCCGUGUGUGACCCAUCUUUUAAUUUAUUACUCUUUGCACCAUGCCUGGAAUCCAGUCGUUGCUUGCUAAACGUUU